UACAGAGGGUGCAAGCGUUAAUCGGAAUUACUGGGCGUAAAGAGCACGUAGGUGGUUGGAUAAGUCAGAUGUGAAAUCCCCGGGCUUAACCUGGGAACUGCAUUUGAGACUGUUCAGCUAGAGUUUAGUAGAGGGAAGUGGAAUUCCACAUGUAGCGGUGAAAUGCGUAGAGAUCGGGAGGAACAUCCGUGGCGAAGGCGGCCAUCUGGACCAGCACUGACACUGAGGCACGAAAGCGUGGGGAGCAAACAGG
Molecule: ribosomal RNA, 253 nt
Filed under: uncultured bacterium
Lineage: Bacteria
Description: partial 16S ribosomal RNA
Rfam family: Bacterial small subunit ribosomal RNA
Source: RNAcentral